AGAGUUUGAUCAUGGCUCAGGAUGAACGCUGGCGGCGUGCUUAACACAUGCAAGUCGAACGGGAAACCUUUUAUCGAAGCUUCGGCAGAUUUAGCUGGUUUCUAGUGGCGGACGGGUGAGUAACGCGUGGGUAACCUGCCUUAUACAGGGGGAUAACAACCAGAAAUGGUUGCUAAUACCGCAUAAGCGCACAGGACCGCAUGGUCCGGUGUGAAAAACUCCGGUGGUAUAAGAUGGACCCGCGUUGGAUUAGCUAGUUGGCAGGGUAACGGCCUACCAAGGCGACGAUCCAUAGCCGGCCUGAGAGGGUGAACGGCCACAUUGGGACUGAGACACGGCCCAGACUCCUACGGGAGGCAGCAGUGGGGAAUAUUGCACAAUGGGGGAAACCCUGAUGCAGCGACGCCGCGUGAAGGAAGAAGUAUCUCGGUAUGUAAACUUCUAUCAGCAGGGAAGAUAGUGACGGUACCUGACUAAGAAGCCCCGGCUAACUACGUGCCAGCAGCCGCGGUAAUACGUAGGGAGCAAGCGUUAUCCGGAUUUAUUGGGUGUAAAGGGUGCGUAGACGGGAAAACAAGUUAGUUGUGAAAUCCCUCGGCUUAACUGAGGAACUGCAACUAAAACUAUUUUUCUUGAGUGCUGGAGAGGAAAGUGGAAUUCCUAGUGUAGCGGUGAAAUGCGUAGAUAUUAGGAGGAACACCAGUGGCGAAGGCGACUUUCUGGACAGUAACUGACGUUGAGGCACGAAAGUGUGGGGAGCAAACAGGAUUAGAUACCCUGGUAGUCCACACCGUAAACGAUGGAUACUAGGUGUAGGGGAUGAAUAAUCCUCUGUGCCGUCGCAAACGCAGUAAGUAUCCCACCUGGGGAGUACGGCCGCAAGGUUGAAACUCAAAGGAAUUGACGGGGGCCCGCACAAGCAGUGGAGUAUGUGGUUUAAUUCGACGCAACGCGAAGAACCUUACCAGGGCUUGACAUAUAGAGGAAUAACUAAGAGAUUAGUUAGCUCUUCGGAGUCUCUAUACAGGUGGUGCAUGGUUGUCGUCAGCUCGUGUCGUGAGAUGUUGGGUUAAGUCCCGCAACGAGCGCAACCCCUGUUCUUAGUUGCCAGCACGUAGAGGUGGGAACUCUAAGAAGACUGCCGGUGAUAAAUCGGAGGAAGGUGGGGACGACGUCAAAUCAUCAUGCCCUAUAUGUCCUGGGCUACACACGUACUACAAUGGCUAUAACAAAGGGAAGCAAAACCGCGAGGUGGAGCAAAACCCAAAAAAGUAGUCUCAGUUCGGAUUGAAGGCUGAAAUUCGCCUUCAUGAAGCCGGAAUUGCUAGUAAUGGCAGGUCAGCAUACUGCCGUGAAUACGUUCCCGGGCCUUGUACACACCGCCCGUCACACCAUGAGAGUUGGGAAUACCCGAAGCCUGUGAGCUAACUGAAAAGAGGCAGCAGUCGAAGGUAGAAUCAAUGAUUGGGGUGAAGUCGUAACAAGGUA
Molecule: ribosomal RNA, 1488 nt
Filed under: metagenome
Description: bacterial SSU rRNA
Rfam family: Bacterial small subunit ribosomal RNA
Source: RNAcentral